UACGUAGGGACCAAGCGUUGUUCGGAUUUACUGGGCGUAAAGGGCGCGUAGGCGGCAAUUCAAGUCAGCUGUGAAAUCUCCGAGCUUAACUCGGAACGGUCAGCUGAUACUGUUUUGCUAGAGUACAGAAGGGGCAAUCGGAAUUCUUGGUGUAGCGGUGAAAUGCGUAGAUAUCAAGAGGAACACCUGAGGUGAAGACGGGUUGCUGGGCUGAUACUGACGCUGAGGCGCGAAAGCUAGGGUAGCAAACGGG
This 253-nucleotide ribosomal RNA is filed under the name uncultured bacterium. RNAcentral's name for it is "partial 16S ribosomal RNA". It matches the Rfam family "Bacterial small subunit ribosomal RNA", at positions 524 to 776 of the family's 1533-position model. The record is from RNAcentral.